This 1455-nucleotide long non-coding RNA is filed under the name Coturnix japonica (Japanese quail). Its description in RNAcentral is "lncRNA (ENSCJPG00005002390.1)". Lineage: Eukaryota; Metazoa; Chordata; Aves; Galliformes; Phasianidae. The record is from RNAcentral.
AUGCUUUGCAAGGACAGCACGCAAGGGGCCGUUUGCACAGGGCUCUUUGCAUGGGGCAGCACGCACAAGGCUGUUGCACGGGGCUGUUGCACAGGACUACUUUGCACAGGGCUCUAUGCACAGGGCCAUCAGUACAGAAUGCUUUGCAAGGGCAGCAUGCACGGGGCUGUUUGCACAUGGGACCGUUUGCACGGGGCCUUUUGCACAAAGCCCUUUGCACAGGACUCUUUGCACAAAGCAGAGCAGUUUGCACAAGAGCUCUUUGCACAGGACCUUUUACACGGGGCUCUUUGCACAUGCAGCACACCCGGUGCAGUAUCUGCAGUUAGUUUGCACAGUGCCGUGUCAUUGCACGUUGCACAUUGCAUGCUGCACGUUGCACAUUGUUGCACGCUGUGUGUUGCAUGCAGUGCAACCCCAACGUUGCAUGUUGCACGUUGCAUGCUGUGUUGCACAACAUGCAAUCCCAACGUUGCACAUUGUUGCACGCAGUGUUGCACGCUGUGCAAUCACACCAUUGCAUGUUGUUGCAUGCUGUGCUGCACGCCAUGCAAUCCCAACAUUGCACAUUGCAAGCAGUGUGUUGCGUGCUGUGCAACCCCAACACUGCAGGUUGCAUGUUGCACGCAGUGCUGCAAGCUGUGCAAUCCCAACAUUGCAGGUUGCACAUUGCACGCUGUGUUGCAUGCUGUGCAAUCACAGCAUUGCAGGUUGUUGCAUGCAGUGCUGCAAGCCGUGGAACCCCAACACUGCAGGCUGCACAUUGGAAGCAGCGUCGCAUGCCAUGCAACCCCAACAUUGCACAUAGCAGGUUGUUGCAUGCACUGUUGCAGUCCAUGCAAUCCCAACAUGGCAGGUUGCACGCAGUGUUGCAUGCCGUGCAACCCCAACGUUGCAGGUUGCACGCUGUGUUGCUAUCACAACGGUGCAUGUUGCAUGCCGUGUGUUGCACACCACGCAACCCCAACGUUGCAGGCUGCUGCACACUGUGUUGCAUGCCGUGCAAUCCCAAUGUUGCAUGCUGCAUGCUGUGUUUUGCACGCUGUGUUUUACACGCUGUGUUUGCAAGCUGUGUUUUACAUGCUGUGUUUUGCACGCUGUGUUUGCACGCUGUGUUUUGCAUGCCAUGUUUUGCACGCUGUGUGUUGCACGCUGUGUUUGCACGCUGUGUUUGCACGCUGUGUUUUGCAUGCUGCAUUUUGCACGCUGCAUUUUGCACGCUGCAUUUUGCACGCUGCACAUUGCACACUGUGUUUUGCACGCUGUGUUUUGCACGCUGUGUGUUGCACUCUGUGUUUGCACGCUGUGUUUUGCACGCUCUGUUUUAUCACCCCCUGUCCGUGUUCCUGCAGUUGCACACAAGGUCGUUUCCUGUUGCUCAAGGACUUCCUGCCCGGGAACAUCCCGGCCCCACAAACAACCCCGCCCCAUAGUGACCCUAUAGCCACCCCAUAG